AUUGAACGCUGGCGGCAGGCCUAACACAUGCAAGUCGAGCGGAGCGGCGGACGGGUGAGUAAUGCCUAGGAAUCUGCCUGGUAGUGGGGGAUAACGUCCGGAAACGGGCGCUAAUACCGCAUACUAUCAGAUGAGCCUGGGUCGGAGUAGCUAGUUGGUGGGGUAAGGGCCUACCAAGGCGACGAUCCGUAACUGGUCUGAGAGGAUGAGCAGCAACACUGAAACUGAGACACGGUCCAGACUCCUACGGUAGGCAGCAGGGGGGAAUAUUGCACAAUGGGCGUAAGCCUGAUCAAGCCAGUCCGCGUGUCUGAAGAAGGCCUUCGGAUUGUAAAGUCCUUCCAGUGCGGAGGCGUUACCAACAGAAGAAGCACCGGCUAUCUUCUUGCCAGCAGCCGCGGUAAUUC
RNAcentral lists this ribosomal RNA (407 nucleotides) under uncultured bacterium. RNAcentral's name for it is "partial 16S ribosomal RNA". It matches the Rfam family "Bacterial small subunit ribosomal RNA", at positions 30 to 526 of the family's 1533-position model. The record is from RNAcentral.